RNAcentral lists this microRNA precursor (99 nucleotides) under Manduca sexta (tobacco hornworm). Its description in RNAcentral is "microRNA mse-mir-2766 precursor". The stretch from base 25 to 92 matches the Rfam family "mir-2766 microRNA precursor family". The record is from miRBase by way of RNAcentral. Lineage: Eukaryota; Metazoa; Arthropoda; Insecta; Lepidoptera; Sphingidae.
GAACCUGAAGAAGUCAAAACGCACUACUCUUCCACCGUUCGUCUCGACUGGCGCCGUCCCACGCAUCAGUCUUGUCGAAUGGUGGGUGAGUUCUGCGUA